This 345-nucleotide long non-coding RNA is filed under the name Elaeis guineensis (African oil palm). Its description in RNAcentral is "long non-coding RNA (EGUI_LNC058160)". Lineage: Eukaryota; Viridiplantae; Streptophyta; Magnoliopsida; Arecales; Arecaceae. The record is from RNAcentral.
GGAUCAUCACGGAGAACAGUGAUCAAUCCAUUCAAGAUCAGUGCAUGGAUCACCUCCUUUUUGGGUAGAUGAGUCUCGAGUCUGCGGUGUAGAGAUACUGAAAUGAGAGUGCAUGUGGUUGUUAGAGAAUAACUUACAUUGAGCAUGACCAACAUGAGAAACCACUUGGAUGUCUAUUCACUCGUCAGUGAUCUUCUCGAUACUGCAGUGGUGUGACUGGUCCUUUGAUCUGUGGUGUGUUGGCUAUUCACAGCGAGGCUACUUAGUUUGACUGCAUGAUCUCUUGAUCCCUAGUCAUUCAGAUUCUUACUGUAUAUGUUGGCUAUUAUAGGUUUAGAUUCACUG